UCUGCGAGGGGAAGACUUUGCGGCUGUCUUGUGCAGACGGCAAGCUGCUUCUCAUCGACGAUGCUUUCUACGGACGGAGGACCAAAUAUGGCCGCUGCCGCUGUAAAUGGAAAUUGAUCAGCAAGCGGUGUAACACCAGGUGCUGGAAAACCUACGACAGCCCAAACUCCGCCAGUCCCCUAUUUGUUGUGAGGAGGAGUUGCCAGGGCCUGCAGAGGUGCGCUGUGAGUGCAAGAAACAAAUUGUUUGGUGACCCCUGCCGACGCACGUUGAAGUACUUGGAGGUCAAAUACCAAUGUGAAGAAAAGCAAGGUGGAAUCACGUUCGACAAACAAAAUAUUUGUGGCUGACAUAAAAACAAACGAAUCCAAGUCUUCAACAUAAAGGGAAUUUUCCUACGUUUCCCGACAGAAAACAUAAAACCAUAGGACAUAUCUGCAAACAUCAACGAUUCCCUAUGGGUCGUUCUACUCGGAGGCCGUCAUAAUAAUUAAUGUUAUGAAAAUGCCGUCAAUCUGUACAGCAAAGAGGGACAUAAAUUCAAUUUAAUAAUAAAUGAUAAUCAUUAUAUUUCAGCCAUACAUAGUAUGGUGAAAUAUAUUGUAUUCG
Molecule: long non-coding RNA, 609 nt
Organism: Branchiostoma floridae (Florida lancelet)
Lineage: Eukaryota; Metazoa; Chordata; Leptocardii; Amphioxiformes; Branchiostomatidae
Exons: 3
Source: RefSeq, a predicted model, not a curated record